AUAACAUCUGCGCGUGCAUGUUUGUUGAUCAUACGCGGGUAUAUAAACCAGGCUAAGCAUUCAUUCUUAACAAAGCCUGUUUUACCUCCAAGAAAGAUAAAGUUCGAAAAUGAAGAUAGGAAUUUUGAUUUUUGCAGUGUUUGCUGCUGUUUUUGCAGAAGAGAAGCCAGGUUACUGUCCGUCCAUUAUAACAGCUGUCACGACGGGAGUGUCACAGCAGGAAUGUGUCACGGACUUUCAUUGUAAUGGGACUGAUAAAUGCUGUGGAUCCAUGUGUACCCCGCCAGCGUGUGACAGUUUUU
Ruditapes philippinarum (Manila clam) is the source of this 302-nucleotide long non-coding RNA. RefSeq lists it as uncharacterized. NCBI's taxonomy places the organism in Eukaryota, Metazoa, Mollusca, Bivalvia, Venerida, Veneridae. The transcript is spliced from 3 exons. The record is from RefSeq and is a predicted model, not a curated record.